AAGAAACGACGUCGUGUGGAUAAAAGGAAAGGUAAGCAAAAACGGCGCGAAGUGGCUCCGUUUCUGUAAGUGGCGCUUGCUCUUGCCUUGAAGAUCAUAGCUUGUGUAAAAACUGAGUUGGGAAAGAAGAGGAAGAAAUUCGCAUCUCUUGUAUGUUCCCUACCCUCUGGUCAUUGCUGAUCAAAUUUAUUUGCUUGUUAAUGUUGGAUGGUUCCUGAAGCUUGUUUCAGCCAUACAUGUUAGUUCUCCAUGGACAUUUUUUCCUCUUGAUGUUACUCUAUGGGGUCAGGAAAUCAUGCCGACCACACAAGUCAAUACACCGUAAAUUAAAUGGGCAAAGUUCAGCAGGCUUCAUGAUCUGACUGAGGCCGGUUGCUUGAUGGCUUACCAAUCUGUAGACAGUUAAUUGGAGGUGUAGUAGGAGUAUUCAACUCUCCAAAAGUUUGCCAACAGAAAGGAUCAUACAUGUGAUAGUGUUCUUGCAGUGGUUUUAGUUCUAUGGUAGUUAGGCUUACAUCUAUACAUGGCAGGGCAUCACUGCAAGCAAAGUGUACAGGUUUUACUGUGUAUGUCCCUCUGAUUUUUUCAUAGUUUAUUCCUGAUAGAGCCACAGCUGAAGUUUGGUUUUUGCAUGUGCUUUUGUCACAAUAGAAUUGGUCAAUCACAAUUGGAAGUUGAACCUCAGAAACUUGAAUGUUUGAGAACAGUACUCCCUGUACAGAGCCCGAUCCACCCUGCAAGUGCAAUUUUUGAAAUAAAGUGUGAGGAGCACUACUAGCAACAAGGUUGAGUUGGAAAGUCUAUGAUUCAUUUACUAAGCAAAAACAUUUCAGAUUGAUAAAAUUUUAGUUUUCUGGCAUUAGUUUGAAGUGUGAACUUGGGGAUGUUGCGCAUAAACAAGAUAAAACAUCAUAUUGAGCUGUUGAAGCUUUGGCUGUGUUCAAAGUUUCAGUUAGAACAUUUAUUCCAUUUUCAAGAGAGCGAAGUCAUCUUCUCAAAAUUUGAUCUUUGAAAUUUUAUCAGAUUCCAAAACUUUUGAUUAAAAUAGGGUAUUCAGAAUGUUUGAAAUUGCUUGGAAAUGAAUUGUAAAAGUUAAAAACCUUAUUAAAGUGGAGAUCAUAUUCACUUUCACAUUUCAAUUGUAUGGUAUGUCAUUCUUGGUUAGUCUCAUGCGUGGGAUUGAAAGUCUUUUGGUUUGUAAAUGCCAAUUUAACUCAACAAAUUUUGAAUGAAAUGGGAGCACAGAUGGUAUGAAUACCUGCCAUGUCUUAAUUCUGACACCAGUCAUUGUAUUGUGCAUAAUGACAUCUCGAACAGUGAUGUUGGAGACACAGGCUCUGGUAUUAUCCUUUCCCAGACUUCCAAUGCUGAUUCCAUGUCCUGGUCCACAAUUCACAUUGUGUACGUAUACAUUUGUGCAUCCAGUCUGUAUAGAAACGCAAUCAUCUCCUGCAUAAAUCAGGGCAUUUUGAUUUUUAAUAUCAUCAUAAAUCUGACAUGGACAUCCUUCUAUGUUCAAUAUCUAUUGCAGACUAAUUGCCUUUAGGAUCAAUAUUAUUUGCAAUCUGAUAUUCUCAUGUGAUUCAUUCAUUUCGAGUUUGUAAGGCUUGUUUCAGUAGGAACUUGACAUUUGAACUUGUUUAGCAUUCGUUGCUAUGUUAUGCUAAAACUUUUCAGACCUUCACUUAGAGAAGUGGACAAGCAGAGAAAGAGUAUUUGCUGAUGAGGACAAAAGAAAGCACGAGGGGUGAAACAAAGAUGUGUUCUUGUUGUCUUUAUGGUUCAACCUAAUCCUAUACUGGAUCCCAAUGAUGAUUUAGAGUAUGACACAUGUCAAAUGACUGAUGGCUACAUUAUUCAACAUGUCAGAGAUUGUUGGCCACUACAUGUCAAAUAACUUGUGGUUGCUGAAGGUUUGACCAAACAGUUCAACUAGAAGGAUAAGGUUCUGCCUUUGUGUAUCAGAAUUCUAUCCCAGAUAUCUAAUCUACCUUUGCUGUCUGUAAUUGCAAGAGUGGUAUCAACGUUUCCAAGUUUUAACUUUGCAGGUCUUAUUCUAGUUUGUCAAUAUUUAAGCUAACCCAGUUGCCCACAUUGUCUAAUUAAGCAUGGUAUUUGAUAUUCUUGAUCUGCAAGUAACAUAAUUACCACAAGCAAGAUUACUACUGUGAAGUAGCACAUCUUUGGAAUUCUGCAGGUGGAUUCCAUCCGUGUUAGGACUGUCACCAGGUGAUGAGAUGUUUAUAUCGUGUACCACCACUCCCAUGCAGUUGUCAAACUUGAGGUGGCAUUGGGGACUGUUUUGAAUUGUAAUGCCCGUGACUGUUGUAUCGAUACUUCCAUAAAAUCUUAGUGCCUAUAAAAAGAAAGCAAGCCAAUUGUGUUAUGGGACUGAAGGGUUAUGAGCUAAAAUAGAAAUCUUCAUAGUCAUUGAAUGGUCCUUACUGUAGGCUUAAUGCUUGGCAUUUUCUUACUGAAUUCAUUUCUUAUCUGCCACACAAUUUCGCAAGAAGCAUUAUCAGAUGCAUAUAAUACAGAGAGAUACAGCUGAAUUACAAACUUAAAGGAUCAUCAAAUGGGUAAUCCUGCCACCAUACUGAGCCACUCCCAUCGAUGGUGCCCGUUCCCUGAAUUGUAAUUCCUUUAAGCUUUGUGAAUUCAAUCCACCACAGAAGACCUUUUCCCCAAACAUUGGAGUUUGUUGGAGCAAUAAUUGUGCCAUACAACUAAGAAAAAAUUCAACUAAUCAGUUUAUCAGUUUUGAGUGCAUUACUGUAGUUUUCAUCUGUAUGUUGCUAGAAUUCUUGUUGCUUCAACCCUUCACUUUAUGAUAGCAUACCUAUGUGGGACACGUAUCAAACAUUUAAAACAGACAUGGAUGUGUCGAACA
Long non-coding RNA from Hevea brasiliensis (rubber tree), 2890 nucleotides. RefSeq lists it as uncharacterized. The record is from RefSeq and is a predicted model, not a curated record. The transcript is spliced from 4 exons. NCBI's taxonomy places the organism in Eukaryota, Viridiplantae, Streptophyta, Magnoliopsida, Malpighiales, Euphorbiaceae.